This 2930-nucleotide ribosomal RNA is filed under the name Bacillus thuringiensis serovar galleriae. Its description in RNAcentral is "23S ribosomal RNA". It matches the Rfam family "Bacterial large subunit ribosomal RNA". Lineage: Bacteria; Bacillati; Bacillota; Bacilli; Caryophanales; Bacillaceae. The record is from RNAcentral.
UUUGGUUAAGUUAGAAAGGGCGCACGGUGGAUGCCUUGACACUAGGAGUCGAUGAAGGACGGGACUAACGCCGAUAUGCUUCGGGGAGCUGUAAGUAAGCUUUGAUCCGAAGAUUUCCGAAUGGGGAAACCCACCAUACGUAAUGGUAUGGUAUCCUUAUCUGAAUACAUAGGGUAAGGAAGACAGACCCAGGGAACUGAAACAUCUAAGUACCUGGAGGAAGAGAAAGCAAAUGCGAUUUCCUGAGUAGCGGCGAGCGAAACGGAACAUAGCCCAAACCAAGAGGCUUGCCUCUUGGGGUUGUAGGACAUUCUAUACGGAGUUACAAAGGAACGAGGUAGACGAAGCGACCUGGAAAGGUCCGUCGUAGAGGGUAACAACCCCGUAGUCGAAACUUCGUUCUCUCUUGAAUGUAUCCUGAGUACGGCGGAACACGUGAAAUUCCGUCGGAAUCUGGGAGGACCAUCUCCCAAGGCUAAAUACUCCCUAAUGAUCGAUAGUGAACCAGUACCGUGAGGGAAAGGUGAAAAGCACCCCGGAAGGGGAGUGAAAGAGAUCCUGAAACCGUGUGCCUACAAAUAGUCAGAGCCCGUUAACGGGUGAUGGCGUGCCUUUUGUAGAAUGAACCGGCGAGUUACGAUCCCGUGCGAGGUUAAGCUGAAGAGGCGGAGCCGCAGCGAAAGCGAGUCUGAAUAGGGCGUUUAGUACGUGGUCGUAGACCCGAAACCAGGUGAUCUACCCAUGUCCAGGGUGAAGUUCAGGUAACACUGAAUGGAGGCCCGAACCCACGCACGUUGAAAAGUGCGGGGAUGAGGUGUGGGUAGCGGAGAAAUUCCAAUCGAACCUGGAGAUAGCUGGUUCUCCCCGAAAUAGCUUUAGGGCUAGCCUUAAGUGUAAGAGUCUUGGAGGUAGAGCACUGAUUGGACUAGGGGUCCUCAUCGGAUUACCGAAUUCAGUCAAACUCCGAAUGCCAAUGACUUAUCCUUAGGAGUCAGACUGCGAGUGAUAAGAUCCGUAGUCAAAAGGGAAACAGCCCAGACCGCCAGCUAAGGUCCCAAAGUGUGUAUUAAGUGGAAAAGGAUGUGGAGUUGCUUAGACAACUAGGAUGUUGGCUUAGAAGCAGCCACCAUUUAAAGAGUGCGUAAUAGCUCACUAGUCGAGUGACUCUGCGCCGAAAAUGUACCGGGGCUAAAUACACCACCGAAGCUGCGGAUUGAUACCGAAUGGUAUCAGUGGUAGGGGAGCGUUCUAAGGACAGUGAAGUCAGACCGUAAGGACUGGUGGAGUGCUUAGAAGUGAGAAUGCCGGUAUGAGUAGCGAAAGACGGGUGAGAAUCCCGUCCACCGAAUGCCUAAGGUUUCCUGAGGAAGGCUCGUCCGCUCAGGGUUAGUCAGGACCUAAGCCGAGGCCGACAGGCGUAGGCGAUGGACAACAGGUUGAUAUUCCUGUACCACCUCUUUAUCGUUUGAGCAAUGGAGGGACGCAGAAGGAUAGAAGAAGCGUGCGAUUGGUUGUGCACGUCCAAGCAGUUAGGCUGAUAAGUAGGCAAAUCCGCUUAUCGUGAAGGCUGAGCUGUGAUGGGGAAGCUCCUUAUGGAGCGAAGUCUUUGAUUCCCCGCUGCCAAGAAAAGCUUCUAGCGAGAUAAAAGGUGCCUGUACCGCAAACCGACACAGGUAGGCGAGGAGAGAAUCCUAAGGUGUGCGAGAGAACUCUGGUUAAGGAACUCGGCAAAAUGACCCCGUAACUUCGGGAGAAGGGGUGCUUUCUUAACGGAAAGCCGCAGUGAAUAGGCCCAAGCGACUGUUUAGCAAAAACACAGCUCUCUGCGAAGCCGUAAGGCGAAGUAUAGGGGGUGACACCUGCCCGGUGCUGGAAGGUUAAGGAGAGGGGUUAGCGUAAGCGAAGCUCUGAACUGAAGCCCCAGUAAACGGCGGCCGUAACUAUAACGGUCCUAAGGUAGCGAAAUUCCUUGUCGGGUAAGUUCCGACCCGCACGAAAGGUGUAACGAUUUGGGCACUGUCUCAACCAGAGACUCGGUGAAAUUAUAGUACCUGUGAAGAUGCAGGUUACCCGCGACAGGACGGAAAGACCCCGUGGAGCUUUACUGUAGCCUGAUAUUGAAUUUUGGUACAGUUUGUACAGGAUAGGCGGGAGCCAUUGAAACCGGAGCGCUAGCUUCGGUGGAGGCGCUGGUGGGAUACCGCCCUGACUGUAUUGAAAUUCUAACCUACGGGUCUUAUCGACCCGGGAGACAGUGUCAGGUGGGCAGUUUGACUGGGGCGGUCGCCUCCUAAAGUGUAACGGAGGCGCCCAAAGGUUCCCUCAGAAUGGUUGGAAAUCAUUCGUAGAGUGCAAAGGCAUAAGGGAGCUUGACUGCGAGACCUACAAGUCGAGCAGGGACGAAAGUCGGGCUUAGUGAUCCGGUGGUUCCGCAUGGAAGGGCCAUCGCUCAACGGAUAAAAGCUACCCCGGGGAUAACAGGCUUAUCUCCCCCAAGAGUCCACAUCGACGGGGAGGUUUGGCACCUCGAUGUCGGCUCAUCGCAUCCUGGGGCUGUAGUCGGUCCCAAGGGUUGGGCUGUUCGCCCAUUAAAGCGGUACGCGAGCUGGGUUCAGAACGUCGUGAGACAGUUCGGUCCCUAUCCGUCGUGGGCGUAGGAAAUUUGAGAGGAGCUGUCCUUAGUACGAGAGGACCGGGAUGGACGCACCGCUGGUGUACCAGUUGUUCUGCCAAGGGCAUAGCUGGGUAGCUAUGUGCGGAAGGGAUAAGUGCUGAAAGCAUCUAAGCAUGAAGCCCCCCUCAAGAUGAGAUUUCCCAUAGCGUAAGCUAGUAAGAUCCCUGAAAGAUGAUCAGGUUGAUAGGUUCGAGGUGGAAGCAUGGUGACAUGUGGAGCUGACGAAUACUAAUAGAUCGAGGACUUAACCAUAUAA